Molecule: non-coding RNA, 846 nt
Filed under: Oligosoma homalonotum (chevron skink)
Lineage: Eukaryota; Metazoa; Chordata; Lepidosauria; Squamata; Scincidae
Description: partial 12S ribosomal RNA
Rfam family: Bacterial small subunit ribosomal RNA
Source: RNAcentral
UUGGUCCUAAACUUGCCAUCGUUUUUAAUAAAAAUUACACAUGCAAGCUUCAACACACCAGUGAGAAUGCCCACAAACCCCUAAUCAGUUUACAGGAGCAGGCAUCAGGAACACCCAUUGUUUGCCUACAACGCCUUGCUACGCCACACCCACAAGGGCCUUCAGCAGUGAGAAGUAUUAAGAAAUAAGCGAAAGCUUGACUUAGUUAUUAUUAAAAUGGUCGGUAAAUCUCGUGCCAGCCACCGCGGUUAUACGAAAGACCAAAAACAACGGCCCACGGCGUAAAGAGUGAUAAAAGAAACACCGUCUAUUUAAGGGGAAACUACAACAAAGUUGUAAAAUACUACUGACUGCAAGAACCACAACAACAAAAUGCCUUUAAACCACUUAACCUCACGAAAGCUAAGAAACAAACUGGGAUUAGAUACCCCACUAUGCCUAGCCGUCAACAAAAACAGUCUAAAAUACAAUACUGUUCGCCAGAGAACUACAAGCUAAAGCUUAAAACUCCAAGGACUUGGCGGUGCUCCACAUCACCCUAGAGGAGCCUGUCCUAUAAUCGAUACCCCCCGAUCUACCUCACCACUUUUUGUAAACCCAGCCUAUAUACCGCCGUCGUCAGCCUACCUUAUGAAAGAAAUAUAGUAGGCAAAAUAGUCACCAACUAAAACGUCAGGUCAAGGUGUAGCACAUAAAAUGGAAGAGAUGGGCUACACUCUCUCCCUCAGAGAACACGAACAGCAUCAAUGAAACACUGCUCAAAGGUGGAUUUAGUAGUAAGACGGGCAAGAGAGCCCAUCUUAAACCUGCCCUGGAGCGCGCACACACCGCCCGUCACCCUCAUCA